AAAAUGGCCCUUUUAAGGGCCCCAUAUAAUUCUACAAAAGGAUUAA
Aedes aegypti (yellow fever mosquito) is the source of this 46-nucleotide non-coding RNA. NCBI's taxonomy places the organism in Eukaryota, Metazoa, Arthropoda, Insecta, Diptera, Culicidae. The record is from Rfam.